GCCGCCGCCCGGAGCCGGGUCUUGCUCGCGCUCUCGCGAGAGAGCCGUCAUCUCUCCGGUGCCCGGGAGAGGGGCCGGGCGGGACGGUACAGCAACCGGAGGAACCUUGAUUCCCUGCCCCGCAAGCCCAGCACCGGUUUUGCCGCCUUGUCUCGAAGGGUCAACCAGGCCAUCUCCUGCCUCGGGACGGAGAGCGCCCUGGAAAAGGCGGAGGGGCCGGUGAGGAGCAGGGCUUCCCUCGCUUCGGGGCUUUGAGCUUCCCUGUGACCGUCAUUUCCUUGUAGCGUAUAAUUGGGUUGGCCAUUAAUAAUUGCUCGAUAACUGCAUAAUGGUGAAACCUGGUACCACUCAAAUGCAACUUUCUUGCUCGUUUUCACAAGUCGAUGUUAUCGAAAUGAAGCACUUUUCUCUGAAUUGGUGUGGGUUUUGGAAUGAUUUUUGCAGAGAUAGUCACGACCUUAGUCACACAAGAGCGAUGGCAAGAUUUUCACCCAAGCCAUCUGACUUGGAACCCAUGGAUUAACCAACUGCCACUGGAGGCAAAUCCAGAGACCAAGGGAGCAGUUUAUACAGAAACAGAUGCCGGCAUUAACCCACAGGGAGUUAUUGUUACAGACUGAAGAAUAGAAAAAGAAAAAGCCAAAUAGAGCCUUAUUCCACCCA
This 663-nucleotide long non-coding RNA is filed under the name Homo sapiens (human). RNAcentral's name for it is "HSALNT0390742". The record is from RNAcentral. Lineage: Eukaryota; Metazoa; Chordata; Mammalia; Primates; Hominidae.